AUGUCGGCUCAAGCAAUCUCAACACUUGUGCAAAAAUUCUCAUGGGCAAAGUUGAAGAGCACAAAGAUUAAGAGGCACGGAUGGAGUAAACUAGCAGAGGGGAUCAUCAAACUAAAUGUUGGCGCCACCUUCGGUUAUGAUAAUGGCACAGGAAGUACCGGUGCAGUGCUUCGCGACGAUCAUGGCUUUUUCAUUGCAGCUGCAUGCAAACAUACCCUUCGUGGAAGAUGCGACGGCGGAAGCAAGAGGAUUACAAAAUGGACUCAUACUCACGAAUGA
This 279-nucleotide ribosomal RNA is filed under the name Triticum aestivum (bread wheat). RNAcentral's name for it is "partial small subunit ribosomal RNA". Lineage: Eukaryota; Viridiplantae; Streptophyta; Magnoliopsida; Poales; Poaceae. The record is from RNAcentral.